Long non-coding RNA from Rattus norvegicus (Norway rat), 5014 nucleotides. RefSeq lists it as uncharacterized. The record is from RefSeq and is a predicted model, not a curated record. Lineage: Eukaryota; Metazoa; Chordata; Mammalia; Rodentia; Muridae.
UCCUGGUAAAUAAGGAAAGUCAUGUGUCAUAGUCUGCUGGGAGGAAAUUACUUGCUUAACAAUAUUAAGGAGCAGUUAAAUGUUUAUUUUCUUCUCUUACCAGUUAUUAUUACUAGUAUAUCUGUUUUUUGAUAGUUUGGUAACAUCUGACUUUUAGACAGGAUCUUGUUAUCCCUCAAACAUGUGGUCAUGUUCCUUUGUCAGCCUCCCGAGAGCACAACCACCUCUGGCUAUCAAGUGACACAUGACCUCUCAAUAUAGCUUCAAAUGGGCUAGCUUACUAUAUUAGCAUUCUGAAUUAUUUCACAAAUACUUGCUAGCCUCUAUCUAUGGCUGUUAGGCUCUAUAUUCUAUACUAUCAAAACUCAUACAAAUCUUCAGCAAGAUCCACACAUAGAACUAAACAAAAAAACCCCAAAACUCAUUGUAUGAAUGAAAAAAGCUGAGGUAGAAACCAAGAUGAGUAUACAAAAUCUAAAGAAGAAAAGAGAAAAAAACUUUUGUAAUAUUAGAAAAGAUUUCUUAGGUACCUGAAGAAAACAAACCAACGGCAAAAGAAAACCUAAUUAGUUGAAUUUCCUUGGCAUUUAAAAAUGUUUAGUCUUCAAAAACUUUAUUGUUAAAUGGAAAGAUAUUCGCCACCAAUCCUGAUGAGUGAAGGCAGGUUGGGUCCCACCCGCCUGGAUGGGAUGAGAUUGUAGGUCUGAUGGCACCCAGGCAGCCUGCAUACAAGUAUCUUCAUACCUUGCCAAGGUAUAAAGUGUUAAUGACCUGCUUUGAAAAAUAGUCUGGCAGUUUCUAGAAAUGAAACACACAACAACUUUCUGCUAAUAAAACUCAAAAAAGUGGGAAGGGGCAAGUGUCCUGAUGGACAGUACAGUAGAAGACACAGUCUACAAAGUAAACUCACACUGGAUGUCAAUCAACAAAGGAAAGCAAACCAGUGCCAGGAGACACUGGGUCGUGUCAGCGGAGAGGAUAAGGAAGUAAAAAUAGAUGUCGGAGGCAGCGAUGCUUGAGUUUCCUAAUGAUUGUCUUUGAAGAAACUGAAAAUAAAAAGAUCUUGUGUUGCCACACAAGUCCAAAAAUUAAAGUUGCUGACUAAGCUGGAACCUAUUGGCAAGGUAGCAUAAAAAGCACAUUUUUUAAAGUCUUCUCUGUAUGUGAGGAACAUAACAAAAAUUCAAAGUCAAAACUCAAAAUAUGUCUGCAAAGACUCACAGGAGGUCUUUUACUUUGUAUUGAAGCAGAGUUUCAUUGGCAGCUAAUAUUACAGCUGCCAGGUAAUCAGCAACAACAGACUACUCUCACAAAGAAGAUGAACUAAGUAGAGUUGGAGGGACAGCUUAGUGGAUCAGAACACUUGUUGCUCUGCAAGGGGAUCUGGGUUUGGUUCCCAAUACCCACAUGGAGGCUCAAAACCACCCAAACUUGAGUUCCAGGAGAUCUGAUGAUAUCUUCUUGCUUCUGUGGGUACCGGGCAUGUGGUACACAUAUACAUAUGCAAGCAAGACACUUUUACACACACACACAUACACAAUAAUGACAAGCUAAUGAUAUAUGAAACAAAAAAUGUGCUAAUCUUAGUAACAGCUUACACAAGAGUCUAUCAAUGUGAUUCAGGCUCAUGAUUUGGCACUAUCACAUACGUAGUGAUCUGUGAUGUAGUGGUUCACAGACCCUCCAGAAGGGUUAGAGAGGAAACAUUUUGGAAUGAUGCUGUCCUAUGGCUUAGUAGAGGUUUGCAUUCACAAUAAUAUAAUGUAUACCAAUGGUACACUUCAGUUUUGUGCAAUUCACUGUUAAGCAUUAAUAGUGAGGCACACCUAUAAUCCUGGCACUCAGGAGGCUGAGACAGGUGCAGAGAAAGUUCAAGGCCAGCCUGGACUACAAGGUGAGACUGUAUCAAUUAUACAAAGCCAAACUAGAAACAAGUUGAAAGUAUGUGGCAGAAUACUUUGAAACUACAGGUUGUAAAAAGAUUAAAAAAACAAAACAGAACAAAAAACCUAAUAUUCUAUACUGAAGUAAAAGAAAAAAAAAUGCAACGGAUAAUAUUAAAACCCAAAAACCUUGAGUACCAACUUGGCCAGGACUCAAUACAGUGCAUUCUCCCAAAUCUUAUCAGAGAAACUUAUUGCAGUAGACGGUAUAACAUGAAGACCUGCAAGUGGACUGUGUGGAGAGAAUGGGACUGUGAUGCACUCAAUCCUGAAAGAUGUCUUCAUUACUGCACCCCCUUUCUUCACACUGUAUGAAGGUGGGCCCUGCAUUUUCAGUUGUUAGUCCUGGCAGAGAGUUAAAUGCUGGCAGGAUUUUGGUACUGCCAUUUCUAUGACACAUGACCCAGUUUUUCAUAUGUAAAUGCUUGUCUUUCCUUCCCUGCCCAAAAGAUGAAGGUCACCAACCCUCAUUGACAAACUAAAGGCCACCCUAAGAGAUAGAUCUGGCAAUGUCUUGCUGUUGAGUGGUUAAGACUGAAAUGUGUGUUUUGUGUAAUAAAGAGCUGACAUCUGGACCUGGGGCAGGAAGUAUGGUGGGGAAGGAGAAGGGGGAGAGGAGAGGGAGAGGAGAAAAAAAUGAGAGAAAAUGGAGGGCAGGGGGAGGGAAAUGAAGAGGGCAGACAGGGAAGAGAAUGGAAAGGAGCAGGAAGGUAAAGAGCUAGCUAGCUUUGUGGCAGGGACAAAGUGUAUAUAGAGGGGGAGUCAGGUUAAGUUAGAAGCUAGCUGAGUCUGCCCCAGCUAAAGGACAACAGCUUUAAGCUAUGUAAGAAGCCUCAUGCUUAAUUAGAGAGCUGGUCCAAGAAAGCCCUGUAAUACCCAGGGCUCAGGGAUCUAUGCAAAAGAAGAGGUGAAAAGACUUUCUAGAUACAUAGGGGUGAUAUACACAUGGACUCACAGAGACUGACAGAUACAGAAGGACCAGCACAGGUACAAACCAGACAAAAUCCUAACCCCAACCAAGAAGCUAUUUGUAAUUGUUAUCUUCUGGGAAAAGGAAAAUGAGUUUUCUACAAUGGUGUAUCUCUAGGUUUAUCAAUCAUAUUCCAGGACAGGUCCCAUGCCCAAGAGUAGCUGGUCAACAUAAAGCACAUCUCAUGUGUUUUGUGUGCAUUUUAUUUUAUUUAUUAUUCUUUGUCUUAUUGGUCUUAUUAUUCGUUUAGUUUUUUAAAACAAGGUCUCACCAUGUAGCCUUGGCUGGCUUGGAGCUCACUAUGUAGACUAACUAGGUUGGCUUCAUAAAGAUUCUCCUGAUGGCCUCCUGAGUGCUAAGAUUAAUGGCGUGCACCAACUAUUACUGUAUCAUUUGUACAAUAAAUAAACAUCUGGAAGCAAUCCAGAAAUCCAUUAUUGGCAGAAUGGUAAUUGAGUCAAUACCAAAGAAUGAAAACUAAUCAACAUGGCUCAUUGUAGCAACAUGCCAUUCAAACAUGUACAUAUAUAUACAUAUACAUAGGUAUAUAUGUGUUUUAUUUUUUAGUGGUGCUGACUGAACUGAGGACAUUGUGCCUACUAGGUGGGCAUUCUACCACUGAGCUACAUCUCUAGCCCUCAGAACACCAGUGACUGAAAUAAAGCAAUAUAAAUCCAGUCACAUACUAGACAGAAAUGAAAAGACAAGGCUUUAAGGAAAGGCAAAUGAUUACAGCACUCAGGGGAUCAGUUGCAUUUAAGGAAAGAUUUAGCAGGACCUAUUCCCAAGUAAAGACAGUGCCUUAUAUAUGAGGCUAGCCUCAAACUGAAUAGGUAGCCAAGGGUGACCCUGAACUUCAACCUCUACCUCUGAAGUGCUAGGAAUUCAGCAGCUCAUGAAAAUGUUCCUAAUGGAAACAUGUGUCACAUGUUAACCUUUCUCUAUUUGUUUCAAUCUUUUGAGAUAUGCUUUUACUGUGAAUUCCAGACUGACCUUGAACUACUGAAUUCUGGCAUUCUGGGAUUCCAAGUAUGUACGCCCAUACCUACAAUGCUAUCAUAAUGCUGCACAUGCUUGCUUCUAAAUACUAUUCUGGAUCUAUUUAAACUUUAUUUAAUGUAAGUAAAAUAUAAUAAACAACACUCAAUAACAAAACGGUGAAUUUGGUCUUUAAUGGUUCUCUGCCUACCCGAAAGGCCUUAUGCAUCCUCAUGGUGGCUGAACAGAAGACAAACCUUGUGAGAAGCAAUCGAAGAAAUUCAUCUCCAAAAAACUGGAGGAAGGCCUGAUCUGCAGAGAGGAAGGGACAGUGAAAGGAGGAAUAUGAACAUCAUUUUGAGUAUUGUGGACCACGCAGAUCUGGGUAAUACCACAACACUGAGACAGGAUAUUCUCAGAAUAAGGAUUAUAACCUGAAAUGGGAGCACAGAUAUCAACCUGAGUUUCUGUGGAACCACUAUAAUAACUAGCCCCGGAAGGCUUGAACUCAAUUUGUAUAUUUGAAAAGAACUAAGUUUCUAGUUUCAAAUCUUCAGCAUUUGGUGUCAGUCACAACUGCUGCCAGGAACCUGUCCACAUCUCCCCAACCCCAAGCACUUACUCCUAUACCCAACACCUGCAGGUUUCUCUAAGGUGACUUCAUGCAGGGUACUGGCACUUCCCGACCUAUCCAUCCCUGCAUGGGAGGUCCCAAGGACACAAGAACCAGUCUCUACUUUAUGGUCACUGACUUUGUUUAACUCUAGCUGUCCACCUAGCUUUUCUUGAUGUUAAUCCUCUGCUUGGGAGAGGACUCAGUUUCCAGAGGCCGAGUCCUGCUUACUUUCUGAAGUUCUUUCUAGCGAUGAAUCUUUAUCUCAAGAUCAGAUUCUGCUCAGUCUAAGGACAGUGGUUAGGGUUCUUCAUAGUUAACAAUUGUACGACAUUUCACAUCUUUUUCUUUGUGUAUCAAGCAUGAUAUUUUCUUAAAUGAAAAUGAAAUUGUACAAUAUAAAUUAUGCAACUUGUACUUGUCAUUUAAAAUGUCAGGUCAUAUUUGAUAACCGUUGUUUAUGUGUAUGUAUAGAGAUACAUGCAUAUUAAAUGUAGAUAUAAUGUAUCA